AGAGUCUGGGUUUUACUUUAACAUGAGGCAUUUUGAUGAAAUGGUGGGGAAUGGAGAAUGGGAUGAAGUGGAAAAGUACUUAUCUGGGUUCACUAAGGUUGAUGAUAAUAGAUACUCCAUGAAAAUUUUCUUCGAGAUCCGAAAGCAAAAGUAUCUUGAAGCUCUGGAUAGGAAUGACCGUCCUAAAGCUGUUGAGAUCCUAGUUAAGGACUUGAAGGUGUUUUCGGCGUUUAAUGAAGAGCUUUUCAAA
RNAcentral lists this unclassified non-coding RNA (250 nucleotides) under Hevea brasiliensis (rubber tree). The record is from RNAcentral. Lineage: Eukaryota; Viridiplantae; Streptophyta; Magnoliopsida; Malpighiales; Euphorbiaceae.